GUCCACUCAGAAACUCCUUGCCGGGCUGCUGUGUGUGGGCCACCGAGCCACAGUGAUGGAGUUGAGGGUCUGAGGAG
Small nucleolar RNA from Zalophus californianus (California sea lion), 77 nucleotides. The record is from Ensembl. Lineage: Eukaryota; Metazoa; Chordata; Mammalia; Carnivora; Otariidae.